UGGAAGUAAAAGUCGUAACAAGGUCUCCGUUGGUGAACCAGCGGAGGGAUCAUUACCGAGUUUACAACUCCCAAACCCCAAUGUGAACGUUACCAAUCUGUUGCCUCGGCGGGAUUCUCUGCCCCGGGCGCGUCGCAGCCCCGGAUCCCAUGGCGCCCGCCGGAGGACCAACUCAAACUCUUUUUUCUCUCCGUCGCGGCUUCCGUCGCGGCUCUGUUUUACCUUUGCUCUGAGCCUUUCUCGGCGACCCUAGCGGGCGUCUCGAAAAUGAAUCAAAACUUUCAACAACGGAUCUCUUGGUUCUGGCAUCGAUGAAGAACGCAGCGAAAUGCGAUAAGUAAUGUGAAUUGCAGAAUUCAGUGAAUCAUCGAAUCUUUGAACGCACAUUGCGCCCGCCAGUAUUCUGGCGGGCAUGCCUGUCCGAGCGUCAUUUCAACCCUCGAACCCCUCCGGGGGGUCGGCGUUGGGGAUCGGCCCCUCACCGGGCCGCCCCCGAAAUACAGUGGCGGUCUCGCCGCAGCCUCUCCUGCGCAGUAGUUUGCACACUCGCACCGGGAGCGCGGCGCGGCCACAGCCGUAAAACACCCCAAACUCUGAAAUGUUGACCUCGGAUCAGGUAGGAAUACCCGCUGAACUUAAGCAUAUCAAUAAGCGGAGGA
RNAcentral lists this ribosomal RNA (659 nucleotides) under Trichoderma reesei. Its description in RNAcentral is "eukaryotic LSU rRNA". The stretch from base 277 to 430 matches the Rfam family "5.8S ribosomal RNA". Lineage: Eukaryota; Fungi; Ascomycota; Sordariomycetes; Hypocreales; Hypocreaceae. The record is from RNAcentral.